Molecule: long non-coding RNA, 1064 nt
Organism: Chrysemys picta bellii (western painted turtle)
Lineage: Eukaryota; Metazoa; Chordata; Testudines; Emydidae
Source: RefSeq, a predicted model, not a curated record
UGUCUGUCAACUUGGUAUCUGAGCACAGUUGUGAAGAAACAGAGAGUUCAAGGCAACUGGCUUUUUUUUUCUUGUCCCUGCCUCAGACAAAAUAAAAUAAGAGACUUCAGCAGCUGCAUGGAUUUUCAUGGCACAGGUGCAUCCUGACUGUGAAGCAGGCUUUCAGAGCCUCCACUGCACAGGGUGGAGUCUCGUUGUGGUUAGUGGAUUCCUGGGACAAAAGCACCUUUGUUUAUGAAACAAUUACUCAGCUCCUCCAGGUUGUUCAUGUGUUAAAAAAACAAGAGACAGCCUGUCAGUUAUCUGACUCAGAUUUUACUUGGGGUCCAGUUGCUGCCACCCAUGGAGCAUGUUCUCAAAUUGCAAGUCCCUCUUUAUGGCAUAGUUCCUUGUGCCACUAAAAAGGAUGCUUGAUAUUUCAGAGCAAAGAGAAAAAAUAUAAAACAGGAUGGUUCGUGCUGCUUAUUCUCAGUGGAGAUAGAGAUACAGAGGUAAACAAUUUUUCAGGGUCUCAAAAGCAACCAUCAGAGAACUUGGAGAAUCACUAGAAGAAAUAAGUCUUUACCUUUCUCCGGAGCAAGAAUUUCCUGCAACAUCAAAAAAUCUAAGGAGAAAAAAACAACUCAAAGCAUCAAACAUGGACUCUGAGCUUACACUGGAUGAAGAAAUAAGGCAGAUGAAAUCACUUCUAACUGAACCGGCGUGCUUUUGAGAAUCUUAGCCUCUGUUGAUGAAUCAAACUUGUAGCAGUUGGUCUGGGCCUUGGACAAGAUUUCAAGAAGAAAAGAGGCAGAGGAAAACAUUCCAUGAUGAAGACAGGACAACUGUGUAAGACUAUGAAAACCAAGAAAUAGAGUUCAAACUUUACAUUGCUGUAGACACCCUUAUCUGCAAAAUUACAAGAAGAUCUGAAGCAGCUGAAAAAAUCGGCAGCAUGUUCUCAUUUAUUUUGAAUCCAACUACACAUGAUGCCAAUUCCAGGAUCACAAAAGAGUUAGAAUUAUCAAAAUGCCACUAAGAGAUUUGAUAGAAGAGGAUUUUGUUGAAGGGACCCUUCUUUUAAA